This 69-nucleotide transfer RNA is filed under the name Caecilia gracilis (graceful caecilian). RNAcentral describes it as "tRNA-Ala". It matches the Rfam family "tRNA". From Rfam's summary of the family: Transfer RNA (tRNA) molecules are approximately 80 nucleotides in length. The record is from RNAcentral. Lineage: Eukaryota; Metazoa; Chordata; Amphibia; Gymnophiona; Caeciliidae.
GGGGCUUUAGCUUAAUUAAAGUGUCUGAGUUGCAUUCAGGCGAUGUAAGGUAGUUUCUUGCAAGUCCUA